This 3501-nucleotide long non-coding RNA is filed under the name Sus scrofa (pig). RNAcentral describes it as "lncRNA (ENSSSCG00015051921.1)". Lineage: Eukaryota; Metazoa; Chordata; Mammalia; Artiodactyla; Suidae. The record is from RNAcentral.
UUUUUUUUUUUUUUGGCCACGGCUAUGGAAUUCCCAGGCCAAGGAUCAGAUCCCAGCUGCAGUUGUGACCUACGCCACAUCUGCAGAAAUGCUGAUCCUUUAACCUACUGUGCCGGGCCAGGGAUCGAACCCACGCUCUGGUGAUGCAGAGACACCACCGAUGAUGCUGUGCCACAGUGGGAACUCCCCAACCUUUUUUUACUUUCAUUUUUACAAUUUUAUGCCUGGGAGAGAUCAAAUUCUAAGCAAUACACUUGCUCAAGCCUAGAGAAACCUCAACCAUGGUACAUACUAUGUUUAGAAAAGUAAGGAAGGAGGGAGGGUAUGGCUGAGGGACAGAAGAUGGUAUCUGGAAAAUCUUCCUGCUGGUCAUGGCCGGUCAAUCACGCCAGUGCACAUACAGCCAGAGGUUCCUACAUCAGCUGCAUCGCUACCAGUGCAAACCCUCCUCACAGCGGUUCGUCCCCACCCCCUGACCGCCCGAUGUCACGGGCUUCCAGCCUCCACUCACCUGAAACUGCUUUCCAAAGGCACCAUCAGGUCCCGCUAUUCCACUGAGAAUCCAAGCUGACUUAUUAAAAUCCACAGUGUCAUCGUGUCUAACGUCUUGGUGCUCGAAGUGAGGCCUGUAGAUAAACAGCAUCACAUCACCUGGGGGCUCCUUAGAAAGGCAGGACCUCUGGUUCUACCCCAGGCCACCGAUGCAGCUCAUACCUGGUACAGAGAUUCCUGGGUACCUGAGAUGCACACCAACCUUUGAGAGGCAGCAUAGCUCCUGCCUUCCCCACUUUUCCCCAGCAUCUAGAACAGUGCCUGGCACAUAUUAGAUGCUCAUCAAAUGUUCCUUCAGGAAAUCAAAUUGCCGAAUCCAACAGCCGCUUUUGAAUCCUCAUCUCAUUUAACCCCUCCUUAUGUCUGAACAGGGGCAGUUCAUUUUUUAACAACGCUUCCUUCCUUUCUUGGUUUCCUUCCUACUGGUCCAACUUCACCUUCUCCAUCUUCACUUGCUGGAUCCUCGUUAUGAGUCAAUCCCUGAAGCGUUGUCCUUGCCCAGGAUUGGGUCACGCUGGCUUCUGGGGACCUACAUGCUUUUCCUGGUGAGUUCAUCUUUUCCCAUAGUUUUCACUAAUAGGUAAUUAGGAGUCCCGUGUAUUUAGGAUUUACCUCCAAGUCAAAUCUGUCCAGCCUCUUCUUCGACUCCAUGUUUAUAUGUCUCGUAUCCUUGGAAGAUUUCUAACUCUGAUUGCCACAUAGACUUUAAACUCGAAAUAUUGAAAUAGCACACAUUGCCCCGCCUGGCCUCUCACAACUCCGCUUGUCUCCACCACCACCUGCCCUUCAAGCCUGUACGUCACAUGAAGUUGAUGUCACCAUCUCAUCACUGGUGUAAGGAAGUAGGAGUUAGGCUACACUCUCUCCCCCUGCAAAUCAAACCAACUGCAAGUCUUAAUUCCUACAUCUAGGUUUAUGGGAUUCAUCCCAUGGGAUUUUUGAGAUAUAAUCUGAGAUAAAGUGUCAUUUCCCUCUCCAGGGUUUGAAGCCAAAGGUGGUAAAUUUUCUUCUCGUCCCACCUGAAGUCAUGCAUUCUACCACGUGGUCGGAGAAACCCAGUCCUCAGAGGGACUCUCUAGGCAAAGCACGGGGAAUCCAGAGGUAAGCGAUAAAGGUCAGAUGCAUUCUUUCUUCCAGGAGCCACUUUGUUCGAAGGCAAUUGAUUACGGACUGGCUUGCUUGGGGUGCUGGCACAUAACAGAUCAGGGAUCAGGUGCAUCUAAACCCAUUCUCGGAAGGUCAGGGACGUCACAAAAUUUUGCCAGACAGUCCCAGCAGGAAGAAUAAUUAUCCCUUAAAAAAGAUGGUUCAGUAAAGUUUUAACUACCAAAAGACUAAAAACAUAUGAACUGUUGAAGACAACAAUUGUUUGGGGUUGGGGAGGUGGGGGGCUUCAAAAAGAUAUUUCUUAGAGGGGAGGACGUAACUGGGGAUUCCCUCGGGUUCAAGACUGUAGGUCCAGCGUGAUUCUCUUUGCACCACCUGGACCAUGUGUGCUCUAUGAAUCAACAUGGCUCCACGAUAAGGUUCAGUUUUUCCUCUUUCCUUUGUAGAAGGCCACAUGCAAUGCCCAGAGACAGCCUUGUCCAGCAGAAAGCAAGCAUGCAACUAUAAAUGAACGAAUGCGUGAGCGAACGUCCACAUGGGAGUCGAUGCUCUUUUUACCUCCUCUGCAUGUGGAGAUAAGCUAGGAGCGAGUGGAAAUGGCACGGAAGAGUGGCGCUUGGGACCAGGAGGAGGGGUGGGUUGAACCCUGUGAAGACAUGGCGGGGAGGCUAACAUCCGGGUCAGGCAGCCUGACUCUCCCUCCCUCCCCUAGGGAUAGGAACAGCUGUGGCCUACCCGCUCCGCCCCGGGCAGGAGUGGACGCCUGGAUCCCAGGCGAGCAGGUUUGGGGCGAUCUACCCGUCACGUGUGUGAAUGAGCACCCCGAGAACUGCACUAGGUGGAAGUGGGUGCGGGAGGAACAAAGGGUGCGGAAGGGGACCCAGCUUCAGCGAUGUGGCCUUCAGGAGCUUCCUCUAGUAGGACUCUGCCCAACCUCAUUUUACCCAAACCUGAGCGGAGAGUCUCUGAGAUCUUGAUGCCGACACAAGCUCAAGCUGAGUAACAUCCAGCUUCAUUUCCUUAUGGCGCUCCAUCUCUCCACCUACCACCUGUCUAUUAUCUUUCUAUCCAUCUACCCAUCCAUCUAUCUAUCUAUCAACUAUUUCUGUCUAUCUGUUGGUAAUCCCUAUCAUCUAUCUGCCUACAUAUCAUCUACCUAUUGCCUACCUAUUCUCUCUAUAUAUAUCUAUCAUCUGUCUAUCUAGCUAUCAUCUCUAUAGCCAUUUAUUUAUCUACCUACCUACAUAUCACCUACUUGCCUACAUAUCAUCUAUUUACCUAUUAUCUAUCUGUCUGUCCAUCUAUCUGUCCUCUAUCUACCUAACUCAUUUAAGAUACGUUUAUUAAGAUCCUAUCCUGGACUUACUCUAAGUAUCUUUAAAAUACAGGGGCAAGAAAUUAAGUUGAGUGCCUGUGUACCACACAGGGAAUACAUACAAUGGUAUUGAAUUUGCUAACUCAUUUCAUAAAGUAAGUCUGAGGAUUCCAUUUCACCUCUAGGAAACUGCAGCUCAGAGAGGCUGAGCAGUUUGUCCAAAAACACAUCGCCAAGAAGGGACAGAACUAACAUUGACUGUGAUUCUUUGAGCCUAGGCUCUUGCCAACACCAAGCUGAACUUUAAAUGUAAGAGAGCUGCUUUAUGGACUUGAUAGUAUCCAAAUCCUUCCCUUCCAUUACUUCUGUAACUGGGAUCUUGAGGAGGCGAGGUAAGAGGGGGAAAGCCCGAGCCACCAAACAUCAGUAGACCCUUGUGUGAAGACUCUCGGAAAGCACGUUGGAGCUGAGGGUUAAGAUUCUGGGACAUGAAUCAUUUCCCUUGGGAAACACUGGUGUCUGUGCCC